This 478-nucleotide ribosomal RNA is filed under the name uncultured organism. RNAcentral's name for it is "partial 16S ribosomal RNA". It matches the Rfam family "Bacterial small subunit ribosomal RNA", at positions 332 to 801 of the family's 1533-position model. The record is from RNAcentral.
UACACUCCUGCGGGAGGCAGCAGUGGGGAAUAUUGCACAAUGGGCGCAAGCCUGAUGCAGCCAUGCCGCGUGUAUGAAGAAGGCCUUCGGGUUGUAAAGUACUUUCAGCGGGGAGGAAGGCGAUAAGGUUAAUAACCUUGUUGAUUGACGUUACCCGCAGAAGAAGCACCGGCUAACUCCGUGCCAGCAGCCGCGGUAAUACGGAGGGUGCAAGCGUUAAUCGGAAUUACUGGGCGUAAAGCGCACGCAGGCGGUCUGUCAAGUCGGAUGUGAAAUCCCCGGGCUCAACCUGGGAACUGCAUUCGAAACUGGCAGGCUAGAGUCUUGUAGAGGGGGGUAGAAUUCCAGGUGUAGCGGUGAAAUGCGUAGAGAUCUGGAGGAAUACCGGUGGCGAAGGCGGCCCCCUGGACAAAGACUGACGCUCAGGUGCGAAAGCGUGGGGAGCAAACAGGAUUAGAUACCCUAGUAGUCCCAUGAU